RNAcentral lists this ribosomal RNA (679 nucleotides) under uncultured Lachnospiraceae bacterium. RNAcentral describes it as "bacterial SSU rRNA". It matches the Rfam family "Bacterial small subunit ribosomal RNA", at positions 49 to 728 of the family's 1533-position model. The record is from RNAcentral. Lineage: Bacteria; Bacillati; Bacillota; Clostridia; Lachnospirales; Lachnospiraceae.
UAACACAUGCAAGUCGAACGAAGCACUUUAACCUGAUUCUUCGGAUGAAGGUUUUUGUGACUGAGUGGCGGACGGGUGAGUAACGCGUGGGUAACCUGCCUCAUACAGGGGGAUAACAGUUAGAAAUGACUGCUAAUACCGCAUAAGACCACGGAGCCGCAUGGCUCAGUGGGAAAAACCCCGGUGGUAUGAGAUGGACCCGCGUCUGAUUAGGUAGUUGGUGGGGUAACGGCCUACCAAGCCAACGAUCAGUAGCCGACCUGAGAGGGUGACCGGCCACAUUGGGACUGAGACACGGCCCAAACUCCUACGGGAGGCAGCAGUGGGGAAUAUUGCACAAUGGGGGAAACCCUGAUGCAGCGACGCCGCGUGAGCGAAGAAGUAUUUCGGUAUGUAAAGCUCUAUCAGCAGGGAAGAAAAUGACGGUACCUGACUAAGAAGCACCGGCUAAAUACGUGCCAGCAGCCGCGGUAAUACGUAUGGUGCAAGCGUUAUCCGGAUUUACUGGGUGUAAAGGGAGCGUAGACGGCUGUGUAAGUCUGAAGUGAAAGCCCGGGGCUCAACCCCGGGACUGCUUUGGAAACUAUGCAGCUAGAGUGUCGGAGAGGUAAGUGGAAUUCCCAGUGUAGCGGUGAAAUGCGUAGAUAUUGGGAGGAACACCAGUGGCGAAGGCGGCCUA